GACGAACGCUGGCGGCGUGCUUAACACAUGCAAGUCGAACGGUAAGGCCCUUCGGGGUACGACGAGUGGCGAACGGGUGAGUAACACGUGGGUGAUCUGCCCUGCACUUCGGGAUAAGCCUGGGAAACUGGGUCUAAUACCGGAUAGGACCAUGGACUUCACGGUUUGUGGUGGAAAGCUUUUGCGGUGUGGGAUGGGCCCGCGGCCUAUCAGCUUGUUGGUGGGGUAAUGGCCUACCAAGGCGACGACGGGUAGCCGGCCUGAGAGGGUGUCCGGCCACACUGGGACUGAGAUACGGCCCAGACUCCUACGGGAGGCAGCAGUGGGGAAUAUUGCACAAUGGGCGCAAGCCUGAUGCAGCGACGCCGCGUGAGGGAUGACGGCCUCGGGUUGUAAACCUCUUUCAAUAGGGACGAAGCGCAAGUGACGGUACCGUAUAGAAGAAGCACCGGCCAACUACGUGCCAGCAGCCGCGGUAAU
This 480-nucleotide ribosomal RNA is filed under the name uncultured bacterium. Its description in RNAcentral is "bacterial SSU rRNA". It matches the Rfam family "Bacterial small subunit ribosomal RNA", at positions 28 to 524 of the family's 1533-position model. The record is from RNAcentral.